Long non-coding RNA from Cyprinus carpio (common carp), 2200 nucleotides. NCBI's taxonomy places the organism in Eukaryota, Metazoa, Chordata, Actinopteri, Cypriniformes, Cyprinidae. The record is from Ensembl.
ACAUCAAGUGAAACUAAACUUAAAAUGAAAAAUGCCAACUAGCUGAAAUAAAAAGUUUUUGAUAGGUCAUUUCAUACCAGUUAGUUUAUUUUAUUUCAAGUAGAAAAAAGUUUUAAUGUUUUUUUUUGUUUGUUUGUUUGUUUGUUUGUUUCAGUUUUAGUUAACUAUAAUAACCCUGAAUCCAACAAAAUCUCUUUUAUGUUUUCAAUUAUUUGAUAUUUUUAUUACCCAAAAAUAUUACAUUAUAUAUAUAUAUAAUUCUUAAAAUUCAUAUAUUUGUGGACAUAGUCUUUCAUUCUGAAUCUGAACAUAAUUUUCCAGGUAACAUCACUUUUGUUUUUGACUUGAUUUCAGGAUCAAGUGGUUUUUUAGUGUGAGUGCUGUGGUCUCCAGCAUGGGCAGACUGGACGACGCUGCCAAGCGCAAGGUGGUGGAGCUGCGGGAAGCAGGUUUGAGCUUCCGGAAGAUCAAAGCCAUGCUGGAGCUGGAGAACAUCAAGGUGUCUGCGCAGGCCAUCUACCUUUUCCUGAAGGAGUUUCAAGGGAGAGCUCGAAAGGAAGACAGAGCGGCUGCAAACAGCAGCCACCCGGCGCCGGUGCAAACGGCAGCCAGAGACGUGGCCAGCUCUGAGACGCGGCCGGCCGGCUGGAGUGAUCAGCAGCUGAGGAACCUCCUCAGAGAGGCUUCUCGAGUCACUGCCUCCCAGCAGGCUGGAUCGUCCUCGGAUGCGAGAGGAGGACAGUCUUCCAGAACGGGUUCGGCAGGUAUAAGGGUGGCACAAGGUGGAGAGAAAGAUGAGGACAUCCGGAUUGUCAGCGUCACAUCGUUGGCACAGGGUACUCAGCACACUGGCGUCCAAGGGCUGCGUUCAGGAGUGGGAACGGGAGCGAUGAGUGGUGCUAAUAAUGUAAGACGACGACACACGCCUUCACCUGCCAAUCCUGUGCUAGUGGCUCGUAAACGACUGCUGGAUAAGGCUUUGCUCCACAGAGCGCGGGUCAGAGACAGCGUUCCUCAGAGCGGCCAGCAGGUGUCGCUGUCAGUGAGACGAGACCAGUCCUGUUUCUCUGGAUCUGAAGGCAGAAAGCUUGCCUUACCUCAGACAGCUUCUUAUGACCUGACUACAGCCAGACCUCCAAACAUGAGAUCAUUGCACCAAGGAGCCAGUCCUCAUAGGAGGUGGAUUCACCAGCGGGUCGGCGUUCCUGUUCGCACUCCUCAACACCCUCCGCGUGUCGGCAUCCGCCUCCCCGACUCGUCCACCACUGGGACGACGUCCCAAAAUCCAGCCCCCCCUGCACGGGUCCAAAACGUGAGCAACCAGCCCUCACCUCCUCCCCAGAGGAGCGGCCUGGACCCUGGAGCCGUGAGCGGCCUGCAGGAGCAGAUCCAGCUGUUGGGCUCCGAGCUGAGAAGUUUGGGACUGGCGUUGAGGAUGAUGGUGGACCAUCAGGGCCGACUGGAGAGAGAACAAGCCCAGCAGACUCAAGUCCAGAAGCAGAUCCUCAGCACCCUGCAGAAUCUCGCAUCCAAAUUCAAGCCUCUGCAGUCCACAUCUGCGCCAACGUUACCAGCGUCUUGUUCCCUGGCCUCCUCUGCGCCCUUCGGCCAGACUGCGACCGGUCAGGGCGCUUACGCCCAGUGCAGCCAAGCCCAGACGCGAUACAACGAGAUCCAUGAUUCUGGUCUGGAGAGCAUUGAGGUGUUUUCUCUGGACCAGCUCAGCCCACCUACCAUGAACGGGUUUCAGCAGUGCCCGACCUCCGGCGGGCCCCCGUUCACCCACACACAAGCCCGCACACCGACUUUCACGCAAACUUUCGCUCCCAGCGCACUCCAGUACACACAGCCGCACACAGACUCCUUCACGGGGAUGGAUAAUAAAUCAGUAGACAUGCCCUCCAGCAGUACAGACGGGUCAUUCCAGGCUUGUAGCCCUCCUAACAAGUCCUCUAGUCUUCCGGUUUCCCCCCACGAGCCCGAGCUGAACAUCAUUAAGGUGGAGAACGUCUGAGAAAUGGCUGAGAUCUGGACUUCACUGUAUUUUAUUGCACACAAACAAACAGUUUUAGCUUCCCAGAGAAACUCAUACCAGGAAAACUUUCCCCUGCUUUCCGUUUUAUUUAAUUGUAUACAGUAAUUUUGCCUUUUUAUAUGAAAAGAAAAUAAAUAUCAGUAGACAUGGUUUGUCCUGUUAUUU